CUGUCGUCCAGAUCGAUGUCGAUUGGAUAGGGACAUCCAUUCUCCGCAUUCCGGACAGAUCGUCCCCACCAUGAAAGGCGAUCGAUGUUUAACGAACAUCCAAGGUCAAAACGAUUUAACCUUGUCAAGGGCCUAUGGAUGGCGUGUUUGGUGCUGCUAUAAAUCAACCGGAAUGCUGGAAUGCUGCGGAUUGAGUGGGAGAUAUCAAAGUGUAUACUAGUAUAGAAUUUUGUCCGACAGAUGCCAAGGGGAGACUGGGUUUUUGGUGUAAGCCGGGUAAAAUGAGUUUUGAACAAAUGAUUUUCUUCACAAUUGAUUUAAUUCGCCCUACAGUUGGGAAUGUCACAGCCUGCUCCAACGGGCGUAUAGUUUCAUUUCCUAAGCUAAACACCCAGUCUCUCCUAUGCAUCAGUCCCAGAGAAUUUUAAUACAGUUUGAAAAUAAUCGG
Molecule: long non-coding RNA, 448 nt
Organism: Daphnia pulicaria
Lineage: Eukaryota; Metazoa; Arthropoda; Branchiopoda; Diplostraca; Daphniidae
Exons: 2
Source: RefSeq, a predicted model, not a curated record